ACAACAUUGGGACCGUCGGUCUACAGAGCAAUAUCACCCGCUCGGUGGAAGAUCUUCCCUUUGUCGA
This 67-nucleotide microRNA precursor is filed under the name Bombyx mori (domestic silkworm). Its description in RNAcentral is "mir-2774 microRNA precursor family". It matches the Rfam family "mir-2774 microRNA precursor family". The record is from Rfam by way of RNAcentral. Lineage: Eukaryota; Metazoa; Arthropoda; Insecta; Lepidoptera; Bombycidae.